AACGAACGCUGGCGGCGUGCUUAAGACAUGCAAGUCGAGCGAGAAAGGGACCUUCGGGUUCUGAGUACAGCGGCGCACGGGUGAGUAACGCGUGGGCAAUCUGCCUCCGGGUCUGGGAUAACCUCGGGAAACUGGGGCUAAUACCGGAUGAGACCACGAGGUCCUCGGAUCUCGCGGGAAAAGGUGGCCUCUUCAUGAAAGCUAUCGCCUGGAGAUGAGCCCGCGUCCCAUUAGCUUGUUGGUGAGGUAACGGCUCACCAAGGCUCCGAUGGGUAGCUGGUCUGAGAGGAUGAUCAGCCACACUGGAACUGAGACACGGUCCAGACUCCUACGGGAGGCAGCAGUCGGGAAUUUUGGGCAAUGGGCGAAAGCCUGACCCAGCAACGCCGCGUGAGGGAUGAAGGCCUUCGGGUCGUAAACCUCUGUCGGGAGGGAAGAACUGUCCCGGGUCCAACAGGCCCGGGAUCUGACGGUACCUCCAAAGGAAGCGCCGGCUAACUCCGUG
This 505-nucleotide ribosomal RNA is filed under the name uncultured bacterium. RNAcentral's name for it is "bacterial SSU rRNA". It matches the Rfam family "Bacterial small subunit ribosomal RNA", at positions 28 to 507 of the family's 1533-position model. The record is from RNAcentral.